UCACGUAUCCACGUACAAACCACUGUGAACUGUUCUCCCUUUCGGAGGUGCUGGGUUUGGCUAGAUCAAUAUCGCUUCGCUGUCGUGAUAGAAGUGUGGUCUAGCCGUUCCUGAACUCGCUUCAGGACGCCUGUAUCUUUGAAAGCGGUUAUUAUCACGCAACCUUAACCUUUAUUAACCCCUUUAACCUUUAUGAACUGAAAUUAAGCUUGAUGCGAAGGAGUGCCUCGGCAUUCUUGAAGUCAAGUCUUUAUUACGAAACUAAGAA
Molecule: unclassified non-coding RNA, 268 nt
Filed under: soil metagenome
Description: partial internal transcribed spacer 1
Source: RNAcentral